GACGAACGCUGGCGGCGUGCUUAACACAUGCAAGUCGAACGAUGAAACCGGAGCUUGCUCUGGUGAAUUAGUGGCGAACGGGUGAGUAACACGUGAGUAACCUGCCCUUGACUCUGGGAUAACUGCGGGUAACUGUAGCUAAUACCGGAUACGACCCUCGGAGGCAUCUCCUGGGGGUGGAAAGAAUUUCGGUAAAGGAUGGACUCGCGGCCUAUCAGCUAGUUGGUGAGGUAACGGCUCACCAAGGCGACGACGGGUAGCCGGCCUGAGAGGGUGACCGGCCACGCGGGGACUGAGACACGGCCCAGACUCCUACGGGAGGCAGCAGGGGGGAAUAUUGCACAAUGGGCGCAAGCCUGAUGCAGCAACGCCGCGUGAGGGAUGACGGCCUUCGGGUUGUAAACCUCUUUUAGUAGGGAAGAAGCGAAAGUGACGGUACCUGCAGAAAAAGCACCGGCUAACUACGUGCCAGCCGCCGCAGUAA
Molecule: ribosomal RNA, 484 nt
Filed under: uncultured bacterium
Lineage: Bacteria
Description: partial 16S ribosomal RNA
Rfam family: Bacterial small subunit ribosomal RNA
Source: RNAcentral